AAGUAAAGAGCCCAGAGACCCUGACCAGCUUUACAGCACGCUCAAGAGCAUCCUCCAGCAGGUGAAAAGCCAUCAAAGCGCUUGGCCCUUCAUGGAACCUGUGAAGAGAACAGAAGCUCCAGGAUAUUAUGAAGUUAUAAGGUUCCCCAUGGGUAAUGCCAUUAACAUUUUCUAAGUAUAGAUUUAAAACUCUGGAUGGCGGUGUGGGGGACAAAUGGUUGCUGAGGUUGAUUUGUACUCCUUUGCUUAGGGUAGGAAGUGUAUGACGGGUGGUGGGAUUCCAUGCACCGUGGCGGGGCAGUGAGGGCAGAGAAGUGGGUGGCUGUGUUCAUUAGAGACAUUCUGCAGCUGUUGUUUAGAGCCCACAUGAGCUUAAUGACACUAGAUGGAGAAAAUCCAGGGUAACUGCAGACAGCACUAGAUUUGAAAGCUGGCACUUUAGAUAUAACUUUGCUUAUAUUCUAACUCUUUGGUGCAAAUAGAAAAACAUCAGCCUAUCCUCUUGAUAUGCUUUGUGUCUGUCGUAAAUAGUAUUCCUUUGAAUAAUUAUUCAAGAUAAUAAUGAAAGAAGUUAGAUUAAACUACUUGACUGCUGUACUUUCAGAGGGAGAAAUUCUACUUACCACAAUUCUUGAUUUUCCAUGCCGUUGAUGGGUACUGUUAAUGUCACUGUA
Molecule: small RNA, 674 nt
Filed under: Pongo abelii (Sumatran orangutan)
Lineage: Eukaryota; Metazoa; Chordata; Mammalia; Primates; Hominidae
Description: retained intron
Source: RNAcentral